CGAGGAGCACUUGACCGUUUAAGCCUUCUUCGGUAACGACGAGUCUUUCUGAUUGGCGUCUCUAUAAUAGUGGUCUCGACCGUGAUAGCAAAGGCAUCUUGAACCGCCGUGAAUGAAAGUGUCUCCUACCGGUUAUCGACAACGGCGGUGGCGCCAGUCUCACUGCCCGCGACGGUUUCGUUCUAAGAGGAUAAAGUUGGUUCGUGCGACGCUUUCGGUGAAGGUCGCGUCGCCGGGGAGGAUGAGACGACGAGACUUCAUCGGCGACGAAGGGUGGCAGUUCGACGGCUGGUUCUAGUUGCGGAGGCGGCUGGCGGCGACAGUAGUAUAAGUAUACAAAUUGAUAACAUAAUUGGAAAUAUUUAAAAGGGAAUAAACUCCACCAAUUUAAUAUCAAUUAUUAUAAUACCAGUUAUAAUAAUUGAUAUUUAACACUAACAAUUAAAUUAAAUAAAGGAAAAGUAAAUAUACAAAAAAUAGCUAAUAAAGACUAAUUAGUACAAUUUAAAACUAAUUAUUAUAAUUGAUAUCCUCCCG
RNAcentral lists this long non-coding RNA (537 nucleotides) under Vigna radiata. RNAcentral's name for it is "long non-coding RNA (VRAD_LNC016933)". The record is from RNAcentral. Lineage: Eukaryota; Viridiplantae; Streptophyta; Magnoliopsida; Fabales; Fabaceae.